Molecule: ribosomal RNA, 673 nt
Filed under: uncultured bacterium
Lineage: Bacteria
Description: bacterial SSU rRNA
Rfam family: Bacterial small subunit ribosomal RNA
Source: RNAcentral
GAGCAANCAGGAUUAGAUACCCUGGUAGUNCACGCCGUAAACGAUGAGUGCUAGGUGUUAGACCCUUUCCGGGGUUUAGUGCCGCAGCUAACGCAUUAAGCACUCCGCCUGGGGAGUACGACCGCAAGGUUGAAACUCAAAGGAAUUGACGGGGGCCCGCACAAGCGGUGGAGCAUGUGGUUUAAUUCGAGGCAACGCGAAGAACCUUACCAGGUCUUGACAUCCCUCUGACCGCUCUAGAGAUAGAGUUUUCCUUCGGGACAGAGGUGACAGGUGGUGCAUGGUUGUCGUCAGCUCGUGUCGUGAGGUGUUGGGUUAAGUCCCGCAACGAGCGCAACCCCUAUUGUUAGUUGCCAUCAUUCAGUUGGGCACUCUAGCGAGACUGCCGGUAAUAAACCGGAGGAAGGUGGGGAUGACGUCAAAUCAUCAUGCCCCUUAUGACCUGGGCUACACACGUGCUACAAUGGCUGGUACAACGAGUCGCAAGCCGGUGACGGCAAGCUAAUCUCUUAAAGCCAGUCUCAGUUCGGAUUGUAGGCUGCAACUCGCCUACAUGAAGUCGGAAUCGCUAGUAAUCGCGGAUCAGCACGCCGCGGUGAAUACGUUCCCGGGCCUUGUACACACCGCCCGUCACACCACGAGAGUUUGUAACACCCGAAGUCGGUGAGGUAAC